RNAcentral lists this ribosomal RNA (253 nucleotides) under uncultured bacterium. RNAcentral describes it as "partial 16S ribosomal RNA". It matches the Rfam family "Bacterial small subunit ribosomal RNA", at positions 524 to 776 of the family's 1533-position model. The record is from RNAcentral.
UACGUAGGGUGCAAGCGUUAAUCGGAAUUACUGGGCGUAAAGCGUACGCAGGCGGCUAUGCAAGACAGGUGUGAAAUCCCCGGGCUUAACCUGGGAACUGCAUUUGUGACUGCAUGGCUAGAGUUUGUCAGAGGGGGGUGGAAUUCCACGUGUAGCAGUGAAAUGCGUAGAGAUGUGGAGGAACACCGAUGGCGAAGGCAGCCCCCUGGGAUGUGACUGACGCUCAUGUACGAAAGCGUGGGGAGCAAACAGG